AACAUGGCGAGACCUUGUCUCUACAAAAAUAAAAAAAUUAGCCAGGAGUGGUGGUGCAUGCCUGUGGUUCUAGCAACUCAGGAGUUGAGGCGGGAGAGUCACUUGAGCCCAAGAGAUAGAGAAUGCAGUGAGCUGUGAUUGCAUCACUGCACUCCAGCCUGGGUGACCGAAUGAGACCCUGUCUCAAAAAAAUAAAUAAAUAAAUGGGCUGAGUUCUAAAGUUCCUAUCACAUAAGAUCAAAAUUUAAACAUAAGUAAAGAUUAGGGUGAUAAGAUGUACACUUUCCACCAACCAAAUGAUAAAAUUUAUGAGUUGCCCCAUCAUGGAUACUUGUUGGAUGGAAAGAAUGAAGUGCUUUUUUGGAAUGGAUAAAUACUUUGAAAUUUAGAAGACAUUGGAGGGGAAAUGAAAAUGUUUGGUUAUGACUGUAUUGGAAUACAGUAACUAAAGUAUCAAGCAGGCUGUAGCGGAAAUUGUUAGCUAUCUCCUCAGCAUGUAUUUUCCUCUUCUAAAUCAUACCCUGAUUUUAUUUCAGGUGUCCAUUCUUUCCCUACAUAAUCUGAAGCUGACCCUACUCCAGCUUUAGGAGUCAACCUGUUUUGUCCAAGAUGGUAGCUUUCAAGCUUUUUUUGACUCCAAUCCACAAGUAGAUUUUAUAUGGUGAUCCAGGUUAUGGACCACUGUUUGAAAGACACUGAUGAGUGUAAUGCAAUUUCCCUUAGAAAAAUUGUUGAGAAACCUGGAUAAAAGCCUACUGGAGGUAUGGUAUUACUCUGACCACAGAAUUGGUCCAGGAAUACUAUGUGACUCAAUACAAACCAGAGAAAAGCAAGGGCAAUAGUAUGGGGGCUUUAAAAAAAGAUGCUUCCUCACUCUUAAGGAAGAGAUAAGUGUCCUGUGUAUGUGAGAGCAAGAAUAAUGCCACUCUAGCUACCCAGCUAGUGGUUAAAGCCACAACACAACAAAGAGGGCAGAGGCCUUAUAUGGUAACCUGAGUGCCUACAUUUGUCUCUAACUUGCUAAAAUUUCAGGCAUGCUGAAAGAAAUAUCAAACUUAGACUAAAUCUAUAGCAACACCAAGAAGCAAAAAAGUUAUGUUUGCUCUCAAAGAAUUUACAUUCUAGUGGGAGAGACAGACAAUAAUAAGUGCUACAAGGAAAUUUUUUCAAAAGAGAGUAAAUGAAGGAGGGUCCUUACUGCGAGUGAUCUAAGAAGGUAUUUCCAAGGAAAUGACAUUUGAGCUGAGACCUCAGUAAUAAGAAGGAGCCAAUCAAAUGAAGAUUGGGGAAAGAAUAUUCCAGAGGGAAAGAAAGCAAGUACAAAUACCCUGAUGCAGGAAAGAGUGAGGUGUGUCUGAGGAAUGCAUCAUAGAAAUUGUCAGUAGGUAGGAAGGAGGCAGGGCACUGAGGGUCUUACAGGCCAGUGUAAGGGGUUUGGAUUUUAUUUCAACUGUGUUGGGAAGCCACUGUGGUUCUUAAACACGGGGAAGGGGUGAGGGUUAGGUUACCUCCUUUAGGGAGUAUUUAGAAAUGUAUAAGGGAAUUGAGGGAAGAGCUAUUGUAACGAGUAUUGUAGACCUAUUAGUAUCAUAUACUCUUUCUUUUGAGAAACUCAAAGCUUGGAUGAUAUUGGGACCCUCAAAAGACUUCUGAGGAGAUCCAGCAGUUUAAGGACUCCACUUUAGAAAAUAUACAUAUUAAUUGGAAGAUUCUGUAUCUUAAUUUUAAGACAGGGAUCAUACUUUGAACCUCUUUUCAUCCCACACAGCACCAUGUUAGGCUCCUUGAGACUGUUAAAUUGGACAACUAUCCAAAUUUGGGAAUAUGCAAAAUCAUUGUCGUUACCUUUUGUCAUAAAGAAAUGUAGUGCAUUGAUCAAACAAAAGCCUGUGAUCUAUAAAAAAUGCCCAAAUUUGACUUGUUUUGUUUUUGUUUUAGUUGAGUAAAGGCAUGAAUAUUUGCUAAGCCAUCUCCAGUAACUCUUCCAAGUUGGCUUGCUACACCAUGUCCUUUUGGCUGUCACAAAUCUUUCCCCACUCUUCUGUUCUUUUGGGAAGAGGAAGCCGGAAUUCUUAGUGGGUAGAAGAGCAAAGACUCACCCUUAGGAAUUUCACUGUUGGAAUUAUUUUUUUAAUUUUUAAAUUCCCUCCACCUUGAAUCACCUUGAAUCAUAUGAUUUCAAGACUUCAUAUAGAGAAGUAGCCCCUAUCAUCCUGCCCAAAGUGUGUAAGGGGAACCCUGAUCUGAAUAAUAUAGCACUGAGUAAGCUUGGAAUAACAGAAUAAGAUUUUAUUUUUCAAGGCUUUUCUCAAUGCUACUAAAAUAAUAUUUUAAGGAUCACUCUGGAUGUCCAUUUCCAGAGCACUUGCUAGUUGUUAGGCAAUUAACAACCAUUUUAUAGCUAUGGAAGAAUCACCUAACCGUCCGGAAGCACUUUGGGACUUUAUAGGAGGCCUUUAAAGUGCAAAGUGUUUUUGCUAUUCUUAGAUGUAUAAAUGCAAAGGUUAGACAUCACUUCUUAUACUCUAAGAUGUAAAAAAUGGUGUAUUGUCAGUCUCAAAGUUUUUGGAAUUCUUGACAGAUUUUCCCAGGUUCAUUCAGCAACAUUUAUGCAUCUUUUUUUUUCCUCAACCAACUGCCUGUUUUGAAAGGCAGGAGUGAAGAUGGCUGUAGAAUACAUGUACCUUAACAGAAACUCACUUUGCAAAUACCCAUCUCAGCUUUUUAAAAUAUUUAUGGUCUAUUAAAGCACCAUAAUUUGGCCACUCAGCUGUCAUCAGGAACUAAGCCAACAUUCCUUUUCAGAAAAAGACUUUGGAGAGGGGCAAACACUUCUGACAGUCAUACUGUGUACUUAUUUUAGAAAAUAAGCUGCUCUCAGGCUUCAGUAUCCAGUCAAAUAUAAUAUAGAACUCUAGUCUGUUUUGAGUCCUACUACAAUAAUAUUUUCACAAUAGACUACCAGUUAUGAAGUUCUCACAUUUUUCCUGCAUGCAUCAAGUAAUUCCAGCAAUUCCUAAAUAGUGCAGCACCCUAAACUCUACCUAUUCUAUUUCUGCUUAAUUUUGUACUCUAGGAAAAAAGGCAGAAUUUCACCAACUAAACUUUAUGCAAGAAGAUGAGAGAUGAAUAGUGCUUAUCAAACCUUUGUUAAGGCUUGAAGUUCAAGACACAAACUCUAUUGUGAAAAUCAAUGAACAAUUGUUUGGUGUAUGUAUGGAGCAUUUACUUGGUAUUUAGCCAGUCAAACACUGAAACAUACAACCAUGCCUCUGCCUUGUAUUACAUCACUGCUAGUGAAAUGGACUUAGGAAUCUGGACAAAGUUAGUGUAGCAUUUCCAAGUCAUAAAAUAUUUUAAAACAUGCUAAUUCAGACUAAAGAAAUGUUUAAUGAAAAGUUUAAAUUGUUAUUUCCAAUUCUAUAGAGUAGAACAGGGAAUGUAAGAUCUAUGAGGGCAGGAACCUUGACUUUCUUAUCUACCUCUGUAUUCUCAGGGCCUAAAAUAAUGCCUGAUGCCUAAUAGUUCAUUAAAUGGGUGUUUAGUAUCGAUAUGUUAGUGGUGGGAAAAGGACUAGGUUUGACUCUGAACUCUUUGACACUUUCUAGUCUGGACCAUUGUUCAAGUCACUUAAGUUCUCUCACCCUCAGUUUCUUCCUCUCUUUUAAGAGGAAUAAUAUUUUAUUCUGUGUUUUACAGCCCUGCUCUGAGAAUCAAAUAAUGUAAUACAUGUAAAAUCCCUAUGUAAAAUGUUAUAGCAUUAUCAAAUAUCAUUAUUUUAAUACUAACAAUGUUAUAACACAAUAUUACCUGGUAGA
This 3818-nucleotide long non-coding RNA is filed under the name Homo sapiens (human). RNAcentral's name for it is "HSALNT0361357". The record is from RNAcentral. Lineage: Eukaryota; Metazoa; Chordata; Mammalia; Primates; Hominidae.